Molecule: small RNA, 37 nt
Filed under: Romboutsia ilealis
Lineage: Bacteria; Bacillati; Bacillota; Clostridia; Peptostreptococcales; Peptostreptococcaceae
Description: CRISPR spacer
Source: RNAcentral
UUAGGUAUUUUAUAUCUUUAUUUAUUCUAUCUAUUAU